CGUUGUGUUUGAUCCUGGAUCAGGACGAACGCCGGCGGCGUGCCUAAUACAUGCAAGUCGAGCGGACAGAUGGGAGCUUGCUUCCUGAUGUUAGCGGCGGACGGGUGAGUAACACGUGGGUAACCUGCCUGUAAGACUGGGAUAACUCCGGGAAACCGGGGCUAAUACCGGAUGGUUGUCUGAACCGCAUGGUUCAAACAUAAAAGGUGGCUUCGGCUACCACUUACAGAUGGACCCGCGGCGCAUUAGCUAGUUGGUGAGGUAACGGCUCACCAAGGCAACGAUGCGUAGCCGACCUGAGAGGGUGAUCGGCCACACUGGGACUGAGACACGGCCCAGACUCCUACGGGAGGCAGCAGUAGGGAAUCUUCCGCAAUGGACGAAAGUCUGACGGAGCAACGCCGCGUGAGUGAUGAAGGUUUUCGGAUCGUAAAGCUCUGUUGUUAGGGAAGAACAAGUACCGUUCGAAUAGGGCGGUACCUUGACGGUACCUAACCAGAAAGCCACGGCUAACUACGUGCCAGCAGCCGCGGUAAUACGUAGGUGGCAAGCGUUGUCCGGAAUUAUUGGGCGUAAAGGGCUCGCAGGCGGUUUCUUAAGUCUGAUGUGAAAGCCCCCGGCUCAACCGGGGAGGGUCAUUGGAAACUGGGGAACUUGAGUGCAGAAGAGGAGAGUGGAAUUCCACGUGUAGCGGUGAAAUGCGUAGAGAUGUGGAGGAACACCAGUGGCGAAGGCGACUCUCUGGUCUGUAACUGACGCUGAGGAGCGAAAGCGUGGGGAGCGAACAGGAUUAGAUACCCUGGUAGUCCACGCCGUAAACGAUGAGUGCUAAGUGUUAGGGGGUCUCCGCCCCUUAGUGCUGCAGCUAACGCAUUAAGCACUCCCCCCUGGAGACCGAA
This 899-nucleotide ribosomal RNA is filed under the name Bacillus subtilis. Its description in RNAcentral is "bacterial SSU rRNA". It matches the Rfam family "Bacterial small subunit ribosomal RNA", at positions 9 to 873 of the family's 1533-position model. Lineage: Bacteria; Bacillati; Bacillota; Bacilli; Caryophanales; Bacillaceae. The record is from RNAcentral.